CGCGGUGGGAGCCUGUGUUUCUGUCGCCUGUGUUUCGGCCGCAGGUGGCUCGUCUUCAUCAUCUUCACGGUCUUCAACUUCCCGUUUCACUGCAACUGCUUCAUCAGUUGCGGCAGUCGCAGUCGCGUCUAG
Long non-coding RNA from Maniola jurtina (meadow brown), 132 nucleotides. RefSeq lists it as uncharacterized. The transcript is spliced from 3 exons. NCBI's taxonomy places the organism in Eukaryota, Metazoa, Arthropoda, Insecta, Lepidoptera, Nymphalidae. The record is from RefSeq and is a predicted model, not a curated record.